UCCCAUAUAGUGUAGUGGUUAGCAUGUCAGGUUUUCAACUUGCUCCUGCUCUUCUGAGCAAAAGUGCACAGUGAACUCCCUGGAGACCCGGGUUCAAACCCCGGUAUGGGAA
Triangularia verruculosa is the source of this 112-nucleotide non-coding RNA. The record is from the annotation of a GenBank genome assembly. Lineage: Eukaryota; Fungi; Ascomycota; Sordariomycetes; Sordariales; Podosporaceae.